Long non-coding RNA from Oncorhynchus tshawytscha (Chinook salmon), 3224 nucleotides. The record is from Ensembl. Lineage: Eukaryota; Metazoa; Chordata; Actinopteri; Salmoniformes; Salmonidae.
CACCUUUGUAUUAUAUCGUGCGAGGUGACGCUUUGUCUACCAGACUUAUUAUUUGGCUUUCGACAAUGGUUUCGCCACAUAGUACAGUACAGUAGGUGAGACUUUGUCUUCAAUGUGUGGAAGUAUUGAUCGCCCCUCAGGCCUGAGUCGAUAGUGGAACCCAACAGAAUGUUUCAGCACAGGACAUCCAGAGGAGAGGGGCCUGCCAGCCUGCCUUCCAGCCCGUCCCCUUUUGGCUUCCCUCCAUCCCUCCGCUGAUUUUUUCCAUCUUCCUCAGUGCUUUCAUCAAGAGCCCUCAGCCGCCGCAUACAUUUGAUGUGCCAAAAAUGUGAGCCUUGCUUUUGUAAGUGAUCUGACAUUUUGAAAGGGAGUCUAGACUGCUUUUUACACUGUCAUCAUGGCAUUGUCUACUGGCUCCUUGACUGAACAAUUGUUCCACAUUGAGUUUUUAUUCAAGUGUGCCAAAAAAAUCCCCAAAACAUGCCUGUCAUUCUGAAGUGGAAACAUCAAAUAAGUGGCAUGGUAAAACAACAAGCGUAACAUUGUUGAUAAGACACUGAUUAGUUAUGUGCAACUGGGUGUACUUGGGCAUCUGAAAAACAAAUGUAAGAAAUGGAAAACAAUUGUAUGUUUUCUCUGUUAUAUGUUGUAUAAUGUUUUAAGCAGGCAGGUGCAGGGAUGUACUAGAUCAGGAUUCCUCUUAUCUUACCGUGCCUAGGAUGUCUCGCUUUAGACACAUUUUUCCAGCUGGCUCCAAAACACCAGUACAUUUCAGAAAGAGUAAUACAUAAGUUGUUAUAUAGUUGUAAUAAAAUAAGUGGUUCAAAGAACAAAGGGGAACGAGGCUGGGGGUGAGGGAAAGGAGAAGCAGAGGAAAUUGGAGAGGGGUGGCGUCCGGCAGUGGUCUGUGGUCCUCUUUUCCCAAGACUCCUGCUGUGCUGUUGUUUAAGAGCCCAAUCCCUCCCGCUCUCCCUCACUCUCUCCCAAAUCCCUCCAUCCUCCCUCCUCCACAAACCCCUCUGUCCUCGUGGGCUGGUGGGAUAGUCCUCCCUGUUAAGAGUUAAUUGGAGAGGAUGGAUGGGAUGACAGGACAGGAGGGAUAAAAAGAUGACUGCAAGGCCCUGCAGGUGGACGAUGUGGUGACUAAAUACCUCUCUGGUUACCUUUAGCUUAUAGUUGUGAAGGAAGAAGGCAAAAUAAUACAUUGUUGGUCAUAAGAAAAAAGGUAGUGGCAUCAGAAAACCAGCCAGUAUCUGGUGUGACCACCAUUUGCCUCAUGCAGCGUGACAACUCCUUCACAUAGAGUUGAUCAGGCUGUUGAUUGUGGCCUGUGGAAUGUUGUCCCACUCCUCUUCAAUGGCUGUCUGUAGCUGCUGGAUAUUGGCCUGAACUGGAACAACAUGUCAAUCCAGAGCAUCCCAAACAUGCUCAAUGGGUGACAUGUCUGGUGACAUUGUUUACUGAUCCUUGCGACAUGGGGCUGUGCAUUAUCAUGCUGAAACAUGAGAUGAUGGUGGCGGAUUAAUGGCACUACAUUGGGCCUCAUGAUCUCCUCACAGUAUCUCUGUGCAAACCGCUCGCCCACACCGCUGCCAUCUGCCCGGUACAGUUGAAACCAGGAUUCAUCAGUGAAGAGCACACUUCUCCAGUGUGCCAGUGGCCAUCGAAUGUGAGCAUUGCCCACUGAAGUCGGUUACGGCGCCGAACUGCAGUCAGGUCAAGACCCUGGUCAGGAUGACAAGCAUGCAGAUGAGCUUCCCUGAGACAGUUUGUGCAGAAAUUCUUUGAAUGUGCAAACUCACAGUUUCAUCAGUUGUCUGGGAGGCUGGUCUCAGAUGAUCCCGCAGGUGAAAAAGCCAGAUGUGGAGGUCCUGGGCUGAUCUGCGGUGAUCUGCGGUUGUGAGGCCGGUUGGACGUACUGCCAAAUUCUAUAAAACAAAUUUGGAGGUGGCAUAUGUUAGAGAAAUGAACAUUCAACUCUCUGGCAACAGCUCUGGUGGACAUUCUUUCAGUAAUCAUGCCAAUUGCACACUGCCUCAAAACUUGAGACAUCUGUGGCAUUGUGUUGUGUGACAAAACUACACACUUUAGAGUGGCCUUUUAUUGUCACCAGCAGAAGGUGCAUCUGUGUAAUGAUCAUGCUGUUUAAUCAGUUUAUUGAUAUGUCACAUCUGUCAGGUGGAUGGAUUAUCUUGGCAGGGGAGAAAUGCUCACUAACAGGGAUGUAAACAAAUGUUUGCACAAUAUUUGAGAGGGAUAAGCUUUUAGUGUGUUUGGAACAUUUCUGGGAUCUUUUAUUUCAGCUCAUGAAACUUUACAUGUUGCGUUAAUAUUUUUGUUCAGUAUAUAAAAUGUAUUUGAUUCUCCUCGUGAGAGCUAAUGACUCUCCUCCAAACAAUAUGUUACUUUGCAUUUUCCAUUUAAUGUAUUUAAAUAUUUAUCACCUACAAUAGUAAUGCUUUGGUGCCUUUACUAGCAACCAAUGUGAAUGGAGAACUCAGGGAAAGAACUAAUGUGGCAGAGACAAUGCAAAUUUGGCGUGAGAGCAAUAUAUUUUGUUACUGACAAUACUCUCCCGUUGAAUAAAAUACUACCUGAUUUAGGCAUCAAUGUAGUAAUGAUAUCAAUUAACUAGAAGGACCUUUUCUUUUACCAUCAAUCUUUCUGCCAUUCUGCUUACUGUUAAUGCUGUAGUGUAUCCAAACAUUUGAUGAAGUGUGUAUGCUCACUUGUUUGCAUGUUUAUUUGCGUUUGUACACAGUAAACUUUUGGUUGAGUGUGGGUUUUCCCUGUGGAUGGGGAAGGAGUCAUCUGGGAAGGCAUAUGGAUGUCUUGGGAACAACUGUUCUAUAGGCAGAAGGCAGGGAACCCCUAUACUCACCUCUCUCAGACAGCCUAGGAGGACUCACCCACUCACAACAGAUGCCCAGUUAGUCUGAGCAGCACCGUCUCUAAAGAUCUGUCGGUCUGUCAAAUUAGCACAUCUUUACGUUUAUUGGAGGUGAGGUGGGUAGGAGUGUAGUUGUGUUUUUUCUUUAUUUCAUGCCAAGUAGAAUUUGAUGAUUUUUCGUAUUCAUCAAAGGCAUUGAUGUAUCCAUUGAGAUCUUUCAUAAUGCUGAAAUUAAAGAUGGGUAAAUUUUAUGCCUGAGCUGAUUUAAUACAUUUUUAAAACUGCAUUUAAGUGGGGUCCAAUCUUUCAAUCCUAAACAUGAAUGAAUUAAACU